UACGUAGGGUGCGAGCGUUGUCCGGAAUUAUUGGGCCUAAAGCAUCCGUAGCCGGUUCUACAAGUCUUCCGUUAAAUCCAGCUGCUUAACAGAUGGGCUGCGGAAGAUACUAUGGAGCUAGGAGGCGGGAGAGGCAAGCGGUACUCGAUGGGUAGGGGUAAAAUCCGUUGAUCCAUUGAAGACCACCAGUGGCGAAGGCGGCUUGCCAGAACGCGCUCGACGGUGAGGGAUGAAAGCUGGGGGAGCAAACCGG
Molecule: ribosomal RNA, 253 nt
Filed under: uncultured bacterium
Lineage: Bacteria
Description: partial 16S ribosomal RNA
Rfam family: Bacterial small subunit ribosomal RNA
Source: RNAcentral